AUUGAACGCUGGCGGCAGGCCUAACACAUGCAAGUCGAGCGGAUGAAGGGAGCUUGCUCCUGGAUUCAGCGGCGGACGGGUGAGUAAUGCCUAGGAAUCUGCCUGGUAGUUGGGGAUAACGUCCGGAAACGGGCGCUAAUACCGCAUACGUCCUGAGGGAGAAAGUGGGGGAUCUUCGGACCUCACGCUAUCAGAUGAGCCUAGGUCGGAUUAGCUAGUUGGUGGGGUAAAGGCCUACCAAGGCGACGAUCCGUAACUGGUCUGAGAGGAUGAUCAGUCACACUGGAACUGAGACACGGUCCAGACUCCUACGGGAGGCAGCAGUGGGGAAUAGUGGACAAUGGGCGAAAGCCUGAUCCAGCCAUGCCGCGUGUGUGAAGAAGGUCUUCGGAUUGUAAAGCACUUUAAGUUGGGAGGAAGGGCAGUAAGUUAAUACCUUGCUGUUUUGACGUUACCAACAGAAUAAGCACCGGCUAACUUCGUG
This 484-nucleotide ribosomal RNA is filed under the name uncultured bacterium. RNAcentral describes it as "partial 16S ribosomal RNA". It matches the Rfam family "Bacterial small subunit ribosomal RNA", at positions 30 to 507 of the family's 1533-position model. The record is from RNAcentral.